This 466-nucleotide ribosomal RNA is filed under the name uncultured bacterium. Its description in RNAcentral is "partial 16S ribosomal RNA". It matches the Rfam family "Bacterial small subunit ribosomal RNA", at positions 27 to 507 of the family's 1533-position model. The record is from RNAcentral.
GGACGAACGCUGGCGGCGUGCUUACCCCAUGCAAGUCGUACGGUAAGGCCCUUUCGGGGGUACACGAGUGGCGAACGGGUGAGUAACACGUGAGUAACCUGCCCACAACUUUGGGAUAACGCUAGGAAACUGGUGCUAAUACUGGAUAUGUGCUCCUGCUGCAUGGUGGGGGUUGGAAAGCUCCGGCGGUUGUGGAUGGACUCGCGGCCUAUCAGCUUGUUGGUGGGGUAGUGGCCUACCAAGGCGGCGACGGGUAGCCGGCCUGAGAGGGUGACCGGCCACAUUGGGACUGAGAUACGGCCCAGACUCCUACGGGAGGCAGCAGUGGGGAAUAUUGCACAAUGGGCGCAAGCCUGAUGCAGCAACGCCGCGUGCGGGAUGACGGCCUUCGGGUUGUAAACCGCUUUCAGCAGGGACGAAGCUUUUUGUGACGGUACCUGCAGAAGAAGCACCGGCUAACUACGUG